This 406-nucleotide ribosomal RNA is filed under the name uncultured bacterium. RNAcentral's name for it is "partial 16S ribosomal RNA". It matches the Rfam family "Bacterial small subunit ribosomal RNA", at positions 29 to 526 of the family's 1533-position model. The record is from RNAcentral.
AGUGAACGCUGGCGGUAGGCCUAACACAUGCAAGUCGAACGAGUGGCGGACGGGUGAGGAAUACAUCGGAAUCGACUCUGUCGUGGGGGAUAACGUAGGGAAACUUACGCUAAUACCGCAUAAGAGUGAAUGAGCCGGGGUCGAAUUAGCUAGUUGGCGGGGUAAAGGCCCACAAGGGCGACGAUCCGUAGCAGGUCUGAGAGGAUGAUCAGCCACACUGGAACUGAGACACGGUCCAGACGCCUACGGGAGGCAGCAUUGGGGAAUAUUGGACAAUGGGCGCAAGCCUGAUCCAGCCAUACCGCGUGGGUGAAGAAGGCCUUCGGGUUGUAAAGCCCUUUUGUUGGGAAAGCGGUACCCAAAGAAUAAGCACCGGCUAACUUCGUGCCAGCAGCCGCGGUAAUUC